CACCCUUACACAGACAUACGCCUAGGCAAAACACCAACACACACAAAAUAAAAUAAAAAAAGCAAAACAGAAGGGCCUAGGCCUGGCCCAGGAUGAUGUGGUAGAUGAUGUGGUAGACUUUGGGGAGCCCCUUUUGAGGGCCUUACCCUGUCUGGGGAGUGGAGGGGGGGAUGGCUAGGGGCAGGUGGGAUGUUGGGGGGGAGGGGAGGAAGAGGGAGAGGGAGAGGGAGAAAGGAUUGACAUCUGAAGCAAGCAUGUUCCUAAUUUGAACUAAUUAAAUUAAAUUAAAAAAAAAGCAAAACAAAAAGCAGAGUUUGUGUCAAGUCAGGCAAGGGUGUGGCUGCUGGCCAGAGACCCAGGUGUCACUGACACCUUGCUCUGGGAACUCCCAGCACCUCUUCCCAGGUGUCAGAUGCUGGUUUGUUUGUGUUGUCCACAGUGAAAGCUCAUUGGAGGGGCUCACAGUUGAGAAGGUCCCAGCCCUGUGGCUGGGAUUUCCCCUCUCUGCCUUGAGUUUCCUUGAUCUGAUUAUCUUGGGCUUGUCUUGCUGGGUGACUCAGGCGCUUGAGCAAGUUUAGGUACUAGGUUUCACAGCUCUGGGGGUGGGGAAACCUGGUCUCUCCUGGGAAAUAGUCAUUAGAUAUUGACAAAAGCAUCACUGUCAGGCUCCAGCUUCAGAAAAAGACUCUCCAAGCCUUGAUUCUUAUCAAAUAAAGUAACAAUACCAUCAUCUAGUGCAGGACUUCUCACCCUGGGGUCCACCACACACACACACACACACACACACACACACACACACACACACACACACAGGCUGCAUAUCAGAUGUCCUGCCUAUCAGUUAUCUACAUUAAGAUUCAUAACAGUAGCUAAAUUGCAGUUAUGAAAUAGCAGCAAAAUGAGUUUAUGGUAUGUGUGUGUGGGGUCACCACAACAUGGAGAACAGUAUUAAAGGGUUACAGCUCUAAUGGGCUAUUGAGAGAUUGUAACAUUGCCAAGGAAAGGCUCUGCGGCCCAGAGGCCGGUCUGUGAGGUGAGCUUUCACCAUUUGUCUUUUGCCAGGACGAAGGUGAGAGUCUGUCAGAUGAAAUCGCUUGCCUGGGGCAGCUAGCAAAUAACUUCCCACAUCCCAUGUCCGGAACCACUAUGCGCCCUGCUCUUCUAAGAAUGUCUCCAGGAGACCCAGCCAAGACUACGGCUGAGGACCAAGUGUCCCCUUCCAAGAAGCUGCUUUUCCGCUAGUUGGGCUGACAGGGAAGAGAUGCGCCUCUAAGCUGCUUCUGAGGCGCCCAUCACUGGAAGACCCCUUGUGGUAGCCUCCUCUACACAGCUUAGAUAAAGAGUCUAUUAGCUUCCCCAGAGCGGGUUCUGGAAGCUGGAUCUGGCACGAAGCAGAAGUCAGCCCCUCAGCGGUGCCUCUUCCUUCAGCCUACCAUCCUCGCCCCUCCCACUGGAUUCCCGACACUGGAUUUCUCUCGCCAGCGUCCCUGAGCCCAGGGCACAGGAUCAUUUCUUCCUAAACUGUCCCUGGAGCCAGGGCAGUUAUGCAUCCUGCCCGCCACUGUUGUCAGUGCACACUUGCAGAGGUUUCUGUGGAAUUCAGGCUUCAGUAAACACUUGAGAAGGAGGAAGUGGGCCAAGAAAUCCGAGGACGAUUGCAUCAGGACUGGCGCACACUGCCCUUUCCCAUCUCCGUCUCUGAGAAGCCCUCCCUCUUUGUCCUGGAGGGGCGGGGAGGCAAUUAAGGCCUUGGACCAUCCCCUGGCCUUCUCUGGGCCCCCUGGUCUAGGGGAGAGGCUAAUGCUGGAAUCGAGAGAGACAGCACCUAGAGAGGCCUGGUGGCAGGGUGAGGUUGGAUUGCUAGUUCAAAGAGAGCCUGGGCUAUGCAGUGAGACACCAUCUCAAAAUGAAAAAAAAAGAAAAAAGGUGCCUUGGCCAGUGAGGUCUAGUAGAGGAACGGAGAAACAAGGAGCCAAGGAAGCAGGCAGAGGAGAUCAGGAUCCUGUCCCCUCUUCUCUUCUUCCAUUUUACAGAAGCCGGGGAGAAAUAUGAAAACUCAACUGUGCCCUGCACCAGCCUCCGCCCCCAAGUUAAGGAACACAAAAGAGAAAUGCCAGGAGACGUGAGCAUUCCCUUCAGAGCCGCCGCUGGUCAUGAAACCCCAUCAUCACUUAAAUCGCCCUAUUUUAAAGGAUCUGUUGCAAAGGAUUUGGCUUGAAGAUUCUAAACUCUAUUUAGCUCCAGGCCUUAAUCACUGCGGAGCUGAGAAUUUUAUAAUCACAAAGAUGGAAGAAUCCUAGAGGUCAAGUGGCUCAGAGAUUCUCCAAUGUUUAGACUUUAUCAAAAUUUAAAGUUUGGAAAAUGAAGAGGGAGAUGUCUAAGAGCUUUUAAGUCUGGAAAAACACAACUAUCAAAUAAACGCAACUAUCUUGUGUGGCAACUGUCACUUUACAUUUGUAGACUCAAACAGGAGGAUGGUUACAUUUUUACAUUAGUGAGGCGGCCUUAAACAGAAGAAAUUCAACACACACGUACACACUUUGAGCAGGGACAUGGUGGCACAUGCCUGUAAUCCCCAGCACUUGGAAGGUGGAAGCAGAAGAAUCAGGCACUCAAAGUCAUCCUCAGUGACACAAUAAGUUCAAGGCCAACUUGGCUUUAUGAGAUGAAAAAAAUUCACCACUAUUGGUAUUUUUCUUAUUUCAUGCAUUAGCUCCAGACAGAGGGUGAACAUUUGAAAACUACUGACCUGUUUACUGUUCAUUUGUUUUCAAGACAAGCUUUCUCUGCAUGGCCCUGGCUAUUAUGAAACUCUGUAGACCAGGCUGGCCUCAAACUCACAGAGGUCCACCUGCCUCUGCCUCCCGAGUGCUGGGACUAAAGGCGUGUG
This 2890-nucleotide long non-coding RNA is filed under the name Cricetulus griseus (Chinese hamster). RNAcentral's name for it is "lncRNA (ENSCGRG00015033037.1)". The record is from RNAcentral. Lineage: Eukaryota; Metazoa; Chordata; Mammalia; Rodentia; Cricetidae.